This 1109-nucleotide ribosomal RNA is filed under the name Aliatypus californicus. RNAcentral's name for it is "eukaryotic LSU rRNA". It matches the Rfam family "Eukaryotic large subunit ribosomal RNA", at positions 79 to 884 of the family's 3401-position model. Lineage: Eukaryota; Metazoa; Arthropoda; Arachnida; Araneae; Antrodiaetidae. The record is from RNAcentral.
CUCAGUAACGGCGAGCGAAGAGGGAUGAGUCCAGCGCCGAAUUCCACCAUUGCAUAAUGGGUCGGAAAAUGUGGCGUUCGGGAGGGAGCGUGCCGAAGGACGAUGCAACGGAGCAAGUCCCCCUGACCGGGGCUGUUUCCCAGAGUGGGUGCGAGGCCCAUAGCUCCCGCGUCGUCCUCCGGAUGCGACCUUCCAAGAGUCGGGUUGCUUGAGAGUGCAGCCCAAAGCGGGUGGUAAACUCCACCCAAGGCUAAAUACGGCCGCGAGACCGAUAGCAAACAAGUACCGUGAGGGAAAGUUGCAAAGAACUUUGAAGAGAGAGUUCAAGAGUACGUGAAACUGCUCAGAGGCAAACGGGUGGGCCCUCGAAGUCCCCGUGCGGGUGGAUUCAGUGGGGAGCUCUCCGGCUUUUGGUCACUCUGGGUCCCCGAGAUACUGUGGGGACACUAGGGAGAUAUCUCGUUCCGGUUUGUAACCCCACGCACUUCCACCAGCACUGCGGACGCCGCAGCCGGUUGGGUACACAGUAUCUGUCGGCCAUGAGGUCGGACGAUGGCAGGUGGCCGAUGAASGUCUUAACGAUUUNNNNCGGUCGUUAGCCGGUUCCGUCCGUGGCGCGACGCCCGACCGAGGCAGAAAUGGCCUUCCCCUCCUUUCUCGUUUUACUACGAGUUAGAAGAGCGGGCCGGCAGACAGGUGCACUGCUGCGAUGUUCGCUUUCAGUCCAAUGCACUGGGCGGCUCGCAGUUAUCACCGCUAGUCUACACGGUCCCGCGAGGGAGUAAAUGGUUGGCUGGCGGCGAGUAGGUCGGUCACCCACCCGACCCGUCUUGAAACACGGACCAAGGAGUCUAACAUGUGCGCGAGUCAAGGGGUCUUGAUCAGGCCCAGAGGCGCAAUGAAAGUGUUCCCAGUCGGGAUUCCCAAGACACUCUCCUUUUGAAUUUAUAUUUAAAUGGCGAGAGUCCGACGGAAGCACCGACGACCCGCCCCGUUCUAUAUUUUUAGGUGGGGCGGAGUCAGAGCACACACGUUGGGACCCGAAAGAUGGUGAACUAUGCCUGGGCAGGACGAAGCCAGAGGAAACUCUGGUGGAGGUCCGCAGCAGU